AUUAAAUUUUAACAUAUUUUAUGAUGAUCAGCAGUAUAAAUACUAGUAGAAGUAUUACAAGCUUUGGCUUGUAAAUACUUUUUAUUUCUGAACUUCUUGUGAAUUUAUUUAUUUAAUAGAAAUUUAUAAAAUCAGCAGAUAUAUUCAAACAGAUUGAUUUUUCUAAGCCUUUACAAUGUGCUAUUCGUGUUGCAACUGCCGAGGACCUUUUUGUUGUUGGCCUACUCCUCGACAAUGGGAGCAACGCUUUUCAGCAAGUGAGCAUCUAGUUACUCGAUUACAUGCUUUCUUGUAAGAGAAACUACAUACUAAGCUGAGUAUGCCACAGCAAAGAUAACAUCGCUUCCUUUGAAGCAUUUUAUAUGGUUUGAAGACGUGCACGGAUAUACACUAAAUAUGGAAUUGAAAACAAUUUUUAUCGAACUUGGACCAAAUUUAUUAACAGUUUUUAUACUCGCUACACAUAGAGUAGAAGACUGCAUUCACCUGAUGUAAUAUGAGCUAGCAGGAAAUUAGGAUGCAGAAUAUGCCACUUCAUUUAUAAAAAACGUGUGGGUUUGUAACGCGAUCGCUUUCGGCUACUUUCUAGUCCGAUGGAUGUAGGCAAUUAUUUAAUAACUUGCGUACCAACUCGAACUAAAAUCGAACAGGGAAGCAGCAAGGAAUGUAAGCAGGGUAGAAAAAAUAUAGCUAAAUUCAAGUAAGAAAGCUACAGUGUGCUCG
Long non-coding RNA from Drosophila albomicans, 723 nucleotides. RefSeq lists it as uncharacterized. Lineage: Eukaryota; Metazoa; Arthropoda; Insecta; Diptera; Drosophilidae. The record is from RefSeq and is a predicted model, not a curated record. The transcript has 4 exons.